UACGUAGGGGGGCUAGCGUUGUCCGGAAUCAUUGGGCGUAAAGCGCGUGUAGGCGGUCCGGUAAGUCCGCUGUGAAAGUCGGGGGCUCAACCCUCGGAUGCCGGUGGAUACUGUCGGGCUUGAGUACGGAAGAGGCGAGUGGAAUUCCUGGUGUAGCGGUGAAAUGCGCAGAUAUCAGGAGGAACACCAAUUGCGAAGGCAGCUCGCUGGGACGUUACUGACGCUGAGACGCGAAAGCGUGGGGAGCAAACAGG
Molecule: ribosomal RNA, 254 nt
Filed under: uncultured bacterium
Lineage: Bacteria
Description: partial 16S ribosomal RNA
Rfam family: Bacterial small subunit ribosomal RNA
Source: RNAcentral